GAGUUGGGCCCUACGCAAUAAAAACUCAUGAACUCCGUCAGGUCCGGAAGGAAGCAGCGGUAAGUGAGGACCUUUAUGUGCCGUAGGCAAACCUAACUUGAGU
This 103-nucleotide signal recognition particle RNA is filed under the name Clostridium botulinum D str. 1873. RNAcentral's name for it is "bacterial signal recognition particle RNA". It matches the Rfam family "Bacterial small signal recognition particle RNA". From Rfam's summary of the family: The signal recognition particle (SRP) is a universally conserved ribonucleoprotein involved in the co-translational targeting of proteins to membranes. Archaeal SRP consists of a 7S RNA and homologues of the eukaryotic SRP19 and SRP54 proteins. In most bacteria, the SRP consists of a 4.5S RNA and the Ffh protein (a homologue of the eukaryotic SRP54 protein). Lineage: Bacteria; Bacillati; Bacillota; Clostridia; Eubacteriales; Clostridiaceae. The record is from RNAcentral.